GCUUCAUUAACUCAGUCGGUAGAGUGACGGACUGUUAAUCCGUGAGUCGUUGGUUCGAGCCCAACAUGAAGCG
Molecule: transfer RNA, 73 nt
Filed under: Vibrio phage nt-1
Lineage: Duplodnaviria; Heunggongvirae; Uroviricota; Caudoviricetes; Pantevenvirales; Straboviridae
Rfam family: tRNA
About the family: Transfer RNA (tRNA) molecules are approximately 80 nucleotides in length.
Source: Rfam by way of RNAcentral